GGGAGGGAGAGGUUGGUGUCCUCUGCUUCAGAGACAGGAGGGAGAAAAGAGAGAGGAAAGGAGAAGGAGAGAGAGGGAGGGAGAGGUUGGUGUUCUCUGCUUCAGAGACAGGAGGGAGAAAAGAGAGAGGAAAGGAGAAGGAGAGAGAGGGAGGGAGAGGUUGGUGUCCUCUGCUUCAGAGACAGGAGGGAGAAAAGAGAGAGGAAAGGAGAAGGAGAGAGAGGGAGAGAGGUUGGUGUUCUCUGCUUCAGAGACAGGAGGGAGAAAAGAGAGAGGAAAGGAGAAGGAGAGAGAGAGAGGGAGAGGUUGGUUGGUGUUCUCUGCUUCAGAGACAGGAGGGAGAAAAGAGAGAGGAAAGGAGAAGGAGAGAGAGAGAGGGAGGGAGAGGUUGGUGUUCUCUGCUUCAGAGACAGGAGGGAAACCCAAACCUUUGGUUAGAAUUCCACAUGCAUGAACAGCCUGUCUGGCUGCUGUUGAGGAGAAGCAGAGCUGUCAGUGCCGGGGCACCAGCUAGAAACCCCCUUGUUGAAGAUGUCCUAAUCCGGACAGUGGUGGUAAACGUAUCUGACGGGCUGAAAUGAAUACAUGUAUUGUGGCUGGCUAUGUAUG
Molecule: long non-coding RNA, 609 nt
Organism: Oncorhynchus tshawytscha (Chinook salmon)
Lineage: Eukaryota; Metazoa; Chordata; Actinopteri; Salmoniformes; Salmonidae
Source: Ensembl